RNAcentral lists this ribosomal RNA (460 nucleotides) under uncultured bacterium. RNAcentral's name for it is "partial 16S ribosomal RNA". It matches the Rfam family "Bacterial small subunit ribosomal RNA", at positions 338 to 795 of the family's 1533-position model. The record is from RNAcentral.
CCUACGGGGGGCAGCAGUGAGGAAUAUUGGUCAAUGGACGAGAGUCUGAACCAGCCAAGUAGCGUGAAGGAUGACUGCCCUAUGGGUUGUAAACUUCUUUUAUAUGGGAAUAAAACGUUCCACGUGUGGGAUUUUGUAUGUACCAUAUGGAUAAGGAUCGGCUAACUCCGUGCCAGCAGCCGCGGUAAUACGGAGGAUCCGAGCGUUAUCCGGAUUUAUUGGGUUUAAAGGGAGCGUAGGUAGAUUGUUAAGUCAGUUGUGAAAGUUUGCGGCUCAACCGUAAAAUUGCAGUUGAAACUGGCAGUCUUGAGUACAGUAGAGGUGGGCGGAAUUCGUGGUGUAGCGGUGAAAUGCUUAGAUAUCACGAAGAACUCCGAUUGCGAAGGCAGUUCACUGGACUGCAACUGACACUGAGGCUCGAAAGUGUGGGUAUCAAACAGGAUUAGAUACCCUUGUAGUC